GUUAGGAAUAUUGGACAAUGGGCGCAAGCCUGAUCCAGCCAUGCCGCGUGAGUGAUGAAGGCCUUCGGGUUGUAAAGCUCUUUAGCCGAUGAUUAUAAUGACUGUAGUCGGAAAAUAAGCCCCGGCUAACUUCGUGCCAGCAGCCGCGGUAAUACGAAGGGGGCGAGCGUUAUUCGGAAUCACUGGGCGUAAAGUGUGCGUAGGCGGCUUUGCAAGUUGGGAGUGAAAGCCCAGGGCUCAACCCUGGAAUUGCUCUCAAAACUGCAAGGCUCGAAUUCGGGAGAGGAUAGCGGAAUUGUCAGUGUAGCAGUGAAAUGCGUAGAUAUUGACAGGAACACCAGUGGCGUAAGCGGCUAUCUGGACCGAUAUUGACGCUGAGGCACGAAAGCGUGGGGAUCAAACAGGAUUAGAUACCCGGGUAGUCC
RNAcentral lists this ribosomal RNA (425 nucleotides) under uncultured bacterium. RNAcentral describes it as "partial 16S ribosomal RNA". It matches the Rfam family "Bacterial small subunit ribosomal RNA", at positions 354 to 796 of the family's 1533-position model. The record is from RNAcentral.